RNAcentral lists this unclassified non-coding RNA (285 nucleotides) under plant metagenome. RNAcentral's name for it is "partial contains small subunit ribosomal RNA, internal transcribed spacer 1, and 5.8S ribosomal RNA". The stretch from base 1 to 54 matches the Rfam family "Eukaryotic small subunit ribosomal RNA", at positions 1778 to 1831 of the family's 1831-position model. The record is from RNAcentral.
GGAAGUAAAAGUCGUAACAAGAUUUCCGUAGGUGAACCUGCGGAAGGAUCAUUAUUGUAUAACCGAGGUGCGAGGGCUGUCGCUGACCCGAAAGGUCGUGCACGCCCGUGUGCCCUCACACACAUCCAUCUCACCCCUAUGUGCACCACCGCGUGGGUCCCCCUUUGGCUUGUUCGGAGGGGGGCUUACGUUUUCACACAAACUUUGUAUGCAGUGUAGAAUGUAUUUUUUGUUUUUGCGAUCACGCAAUCAAUACAACUUUCAACAACGGAUCUCUUGGCUCUC